This 311-nucleotide unclassified non-coding RNA is filed under the name plant metagenome. RNAcentral describes it as "partial contains 5.8S ribosomal RNA, internal transcribed spacer 2, and large subunit ribosomal RNA". The stretch from base 1 to 105 matches the Rfam family "5.8S ribosomal RNA", at positions 50 to 154 of the family's 154-position model. The record is from RNAcentral.
GAAAUGCGAUAAGUAAUGUGAAUUGCAGAAUUCCGUGAAUCAUCGAAUCUUUGAACGCACAUUGCGCCCCCUGGUAUUCCGGGGGGCAUGCCUGUCCGAGCGUCAUUUCAACCCUCAAGCACGGCUUGUGUGAUGGGCCCCGGCGUCUCGUUCGCGAGACGGGCCCGAAAGGCAGCGGCGGCGUCGACCCGAUGAGCCCGAGCGUAUGGGGACUUCUGUCACACGUUCGCGGUGCGGACCGGCGCCUGCUUGACUUUUCUGAUUAUCCAGGUUGACCUCGGAUCAGGUAGGGAUACCCGCUGAACUUAAGC